Molecule: transfer RNA, 72 nt
Filed under: Penaeus vannamei (Pacific white shrimp)
Lineage: Eukaryota; Metazoa; Arthropoda; Malacostraca; Decapoda; Penaeidae
Also listed under: 4 other names
Description: Litopenaeus vannamei (Pacific white shrimp) tRNA
Rfam family: tRNA
About the family: Transfer RNA (tRNA) molecules are approximately 80 nucleotides in length. Their secondary structure includes four short double-helical elements and three loops (D, anti-codon, and T loops).
Source: Rfam by way of RNAcentral
UCCUCGGUAGUAUAGUGGUUAGUAUCCCCGCCUGUCACGCGGGAGACCGGGGUUCGAUUCCCCACCGGGGAG